RNAcentral lists this small nuclear RNA (177 nucleotides) under Sciurus vulgaris (Eurasian red squirrel). Its description in RNAcentral is "U2 spliceosomal RNA (ENSSVLG00005006396.1)". It matches the Rfam family "U2 spliceosomal RNA". Rfam says of the family: U2 is a small nuclear RNA (snRNA) component of the spliceosome (involved in pre-mRNA splicing). Complementary binding between U2 snRNA (in an area lying towards the 5' end but 3' to hairpin I) and the branchpoint sequence (BPS) of the intron results the bulging out of an unpaired adenosine, on the BPS, which initiates a nucleophilic attack at the intronic 5' splice site, thus starting the first of two transesterification reactions that mediate splicing. Lineage: Eukaryota; Metazoa; Chordata; Mammalia; Rodentia; Sciuridae. The record is from Rfam by way of RNAcentral.
AUCCCUUCUUGAGCUUUUGGCUAAGAUCAAGUAUAGUAUCUGUUCUUAUCAAUUUAUAAUGUACUACCUGAUAUCUCCUCUAUGUGAACAAUAUAGUUAAUGGAUUUUUGAAGCAGGGAAAUGGAAUAGGAGUUUGCUCCAUCCACUUCAUGCAUCUACCAGGUAGAUGUAGUACUU